CAGUCGCCGCGGUAAUACGGAGGGUGCAAGCGUUAAUCGGAAUUACUGGGCGUAAAGCGUGCGUAGGCGGUUUGUUAAGUCUGUUGUGAAAUCCCCGGGCUCAACCUGGGAAUGGCAAUGGAUACUGGCAAGCUAGAGUGUGUCAGAGGAUGGUGGAAUUCCCGGUGUAGCGGUGAAAUGCGUAGAGAUCGGGAGGAACAUCAGUGGCGAAGGCGGCCAUCUGGGCUAACACUGACGCUGAGGCACGAAAGCGUGGGGAGCAAACAGGAUUAGAUACCCCGGUAGUCCCUGUCUCUUAUAC
RNAcentral lists this ribosomal RNA (301 nucleotides) under uncultured bacterium. Its description in RNAcentral is "partial 16S ribosomal RNA". It matches the Rfam family "Bacterial small subunit ribosomal RNA", at positions 509 to 807 of the family's 1533-position model. The record is from RNAcentral.